UUCGCUCAUUUACGAAGGAUUAAGCUUUCUCCUUUAUGACUGGCAUUGUCCUCGUUUGGACACCGAGUGGCUCCUGUCCACUCUGUUUGACGCCUCCCUGUUAUCAACUUCAAAAGCCGCCGGAAACGGCGGCUCUUUUUUG
Bradyrhizobium lablabi is the source of this 142-nucleotide non-coding RNA. Lineage: Bacteria; Pseudomonadati; Pseudomonadota; Alphaproteobacteria; Hyphomicrobiales; Nitrobacteraceae. The record is from Rfam.